RNAcentral lists this ribosomal RNA (716 nucleotides) under Lutibacter sp. Its description in RNAcentral is "bacterial SSU rRNA". It matches the Rfam family "Bacterial small subunit ribosomal RNA", at positions 28 to 735 of the family's 1533-position model. The record is from RNAcentral. Lineage: Bacteria; Pseudomonadati; Bacteroidota; Flavobacteriia; Flavobacteriales; Flavobacteriaceae.
GAUGAACGCUAGCGGCAGGCUUAACACAUGCAAGUCGAGGGGUAACAGGGAAGAGCUUGCUUUUCCGCUGACGACCGGCGCACGGGUGAGUAACGCGUAUAGAACCUACCUUUUACAGGGGAAUAGCCCAGAGAAAUUUGGAUUAAUGCCCUAUAGUAUUAUUGAAUGGCAUCAUUUAGUAAUUAAACAUUUAUGGGUAAAAGAUGGCUAUGCGUUCUAUUAGCUAGAUGGUAAGGUAACGGCUUACCAUGGCAACGAUAGAUAGGGGUCCUGAGAGGGAGAUCCCCCACACUGGUACUGAGACACGGACCAGACUCCUACGGGAGGCAGCAGUGAGGAAUAUUGGACAAUGGAGGCAACUCUGAUCCAGCCAUGCCGCGUGCAGGAAGACGGCCCUAUGGGUUGUAAACUGCUUUUAUACGGGAAGAAACCCAACUACGUGUAGUUGGCUGACGGUACCGUAAGAAUAAGCACCGGCUAACUCCGUGCCAGCAGCCGCGGUAAUACGGAGGGUGCAAGCGUUAUCCGGAAUCAUUGGGUUUAAAGGGUCCGUAGGCGGGCUAAUAAGUCAGGGGUGAAAUCCAACAGCUUAACUGUUGAACUGCCUUUGAUACUGUUAGUCUUGAAUUAUAUGGAAGUAGAUAGAAUGUGUAGUGUAGCGGUGAAAUGCUUAGAGAUUACACAGAAUACCGAUUGCGAAGGCAGUCUACUACGUA